RNAcentral lists this long non-coding RNA (261 nucleotides) under Olea europaea (common olive). RNAcentral describes it as "long non-coding RNA (OEUR_LNC010335)". Lineage: Eukaryota; Viridiplantae; Streptophyta; Magnoliopsida; Lamiales; Oleaceae. The record is from RNAcentral.
AAACAUGAUUGCGGAUUCCAAAUUAUCCGGGAUAAGGUUGAGUUCCUUGUUGUUGCAGUGGACUAUAGCAUAAUUAAAUUGCAUUGUCAGACAGAAAGUUAAAAAGACAUUCAAUAAUAAUAUUUCCAAAAGCAAUCGCCCGAACUAAAUUAUUUGUAUUUAGCUUAUCAAAAUAUAAAUAUCAACAGAAGUACAGAACCAAGAAAAAUUCAGUACUAAAGAAGAGAAGCAAACCCCAAAUGCAGGCUCCUGAAAUAGCCA